RNAcentral lists this ribosomal RNA (497 nucleotides) under uncultured bacterium. Its description in RNAcentral is "partial 16S ribosomal RNA". It matches the Rfam family "Bacterial small subunit ribosomal RNA", at positions 28 to 507 of the family's 1533-position model. The record is from RNAcentral.
GAUGGACGCUGGCGGCGUGCCUAAUACAUGCAAGUCGAGCGAACGGACGAGAAGCUUGCUUCUCUGAUGUUAGCGGCGGACGGGUGAGUAACACGUGGAUAACCUACCUAUAAGACUGGGAUAACUUCGGGAAACCGGAGCUAAUACCGGAUAAUAUUUUGAACCGCAUGGUUCAAAAGUGAAAGACGGUCUUGCUGUCACUUAUAGAUGGAUCCGCGCUGCAUUAGCUAGUUGGUAAGGUAACGGCUUACCAAGGCAACGAUGCAUAGCCGACCUGAGAGGGUGAUCGGCCACACUGGAACUGAGACACGGUCCAGACUCCUACGGGGGGCAGCAGUAGGGAAUCUUCCGCAAUGGGCGAAAGCCUGACGGAGCAACGCCGCGUGAGUGAUGAAGGUCUUCGGAUCGUAAAACUCUGUUAUUAGGGAAGAACAUAUGUGUAAGUAACUGUGCACAUCUUGACGGUACCUAAUCAGAAAGCCACGGCUAACUACGUG